CUUGGCACAAUAUACCUGGAAGAUAACGUGAAUUCAGAGGUGUUUCCUGUUUUCUCUUUCAGGGAAAUCUUGAGGAGUUUGAUCCUUUCCACCCAGCAGCCAUUAACCAUCUUGUGGGAAGCUGUACAUUGGAAGAAUCCCAGGCAAGCGGUUCCUGGCCCUCGCAGUGCAGUUGAGGGAAUCUGGAAGCAGCAUGCGGGCACCAGCGCUGAGGGAAGCCAUGGGCCUAGGCCACAGGUGAGUGCCCGGUCUGCAGGACCGCGUCAGCUCUGCAGAGUCCCAGUGUGACCCCAUCAGUCCUGCUUUUGCAAAAUGCUGGAAUGCUUCGUCUCUUUAAAAAUUAACCUGUAAGACUCCUUUGUGCCUGUCAAAAGCUUUUCCCAGUCCGUGAAAUAAGACUCUGUCUCCCCAACUACCCACUGCCGUGAUGUUCCUGCAUUGGAACGAGCCAAGCAUGAACUGAACCCCUGGGAACCAUUAGCCAAUGUACACGCCCCUUCUCACUUUAAGAGAGUGGGAGGUGAGGAAGGAAUUUCCUUUGGAACUGAGCUUCUAGUUGUCCAGGCUGCCAGGAAACAGGGAGCAUCACCCCCGUCAUGGGGAGCAGGAGGGGAGGGGCACUGAGCACCCCACUGGUGCUAACAAGGCCCUCUUGGUGACAGUCUCCAAGGCAGAGCUGGCUGGGGACCGUGUUGUCCCUCUCAGAAUCAGGCCAUUAGAAUGGUUAGGGAGCAUAAUAGCUAGGAGAUGCCUCAACCUCUGGUUUUAAAAGUGUGAAAGGCCAGCAGUCUUUAUAGAUGCAGUGCUGGCCAUCUAAGUCUGUGCUUUGACCACGACUACGAAAGGUGUGUGUGUUCCUGUCGACAAGAGAUAAAUAGAAUAACAGACCACAGAAGACAGAUGUGAAAAGAAAACAAAACAAAAACCCAUAUUUUUUUGCUGGCCUUGAAAAAUAGACCAAGUCUUAUGUGUGAAUCACAGAAUCUCUGCCUUCCACAGUUACAAAGAUGACGACCCAAUCCAGGUUGCUAGGAAAGUGCUAGAAAAAGAUACAAGCCUCUAAUGUAGGACCCU
RNAcentral lists this long non-coding RNA (1074 nucleotides) under Fukomys damarensis (Damara mole-rat). RNAcentral describes it as "lncRNA (ENSFDAG00000027302.1)". Lineage: Eukaryota; Metazoa; Chordata; Mammalia; Rodentia; Bathyergidae. The record is from RNAcentral.